Molecule: ribosomal RNA, 373 nt
Filed under: uncultured organism
Description: partial 16S ribosomal RNA
Rfam family: Bacterial small subunit ribosomal RNA
Source: RNAcentral
GGAGGGUGCAAGCGUUGUUCGGAAUUAUUGGGCGUAAAGAGCGUGUAGGCGGUCCGGUAAGUCAGAUGUGAAAGCCCUGGGCUCAACCCAGGAAGUGCAUUUGAAACUACCAGACUUGAGUACAGGAGAGGAGGGGGGAAUUCCCGGUGUAGAGGUGAAAUUCGUAGAUAUCGGGAGGAAUACCAGUGGCGAAGGCGCCCCUCUGGACCGAUACUGACGCUGAGACGCGAAAGCGUGGGAAGCAAACAGGAUUAGAUACCCUGGUAGUUCACGCCGUAAACGAUGAGCACUAGGUGUAGCGGGUAUUGACCCCCCUGCUGUGCCGUAGCUAACGCAUUAAGUGCUCCGCCUGGGGACUACGGUCGCAAGACUA